UCUGGUUACUGCGAUGGAGGGACGGAGAAGGCUAGGCCAGCUUGGCGUUGGUUGUCCAAGUUUAAGGUGGUAGGCUGAAAUCUUAGGUAAAUCCGGGGUUUCAAGGCCGAGAGCUGAUGACGAGUCGUCUUUUAGAUGACGAAGUGGUUGAUGCCAUGCUUCCAAGAAAAGCUUCUAAGCUUCAGGUAACCAGGAACCGUACCCCAAACCGACACAGGUGGUCGGGUAGAGAAUACCAAGGCGCUUGAGAGAACUCGGGUGAAGGAACUAGGCAAAAUGGCACCGUAACUUCGGGAGAAGGUGCGCCGGCUAGGGUGAAGGAUUUACUCCGUAAGCUCUGGCUGGUCGAAGAUACCAGGCCGCUGCGACUGUUUAUUAAAAACACAGCACUCUGCAAACACGAAAGUGGACGUAUAGGGUGUGACGCCUGCCCGGUGCCGGAAGGUUAAUUGAUGGGGUUAGCGCAAGCGAAGCUCUUGAUCGAAGCCCCGGUAAACGGCGGCCGUAACUAUAACGGUCCUAAGGUAGCGAAAUUCCUUGUCGGGUAAGUUCCGACCUGCACGAAUGGCGUAACGAUGGCGGCGCUGUCUCCACCCGAGACUCAGUGAAAUUGAAAUCGCUGUGAAGAUGCAGUGUAUCCGCGGCUAGACGGAAAGACCCCGUGAACCUUUACUGUAGCUUUGCACUGGACUUUGAGCCUGCUUGUGUAGGAUAGGUGGGAGGCUUUGAAGCGUGGACGCCAGUUCGCGUGGAGCCAUCCUUGAAAUACCACCCUGGCAUGCUUGAGGUUCUAACUCUGGUCCGUAAUCCGGAUCGAGGACAGUGUAUGGUGGGCAGUUUGACUGGGGCGGUCUCCUCCUAAAGAGUAACGGAGGAGUACGAAGGUGCGCUCAGACCGGUCGGAAAUCGGUCGCAGAGUAUAAAGGCAAAAGCGCGCUUGACUGCGAGACAGACACGUCGAGCAGGUACGAAAGUAGGUCUUAGUGAUCCGGUGGUUCUGUAUGGAAGGGCCAUCGCUCAACGGAUAAAAGGUACUCCGGGGAUAACAGGCUGAUACCGCCCAAGAGUUCAUAUCGACGGCGGUGUUUGGCACCUCGAUGUCGGCUCAUCACAUCCUGGGGCUGAAGCCGGUCCCAAGGGUAUGGCUGUUCGCCAUUUAAAGUGGUACGCGAGCUGGGUUUAGAACGUCGUGAGACAGUUCGGUCCCUAUCUGCCGUGGACGUUUGAGAUUUGAGAGGGGCUGCUCCUAGUACGAGAGGACCGGAGUGGACGAACCUCUGGUGUUCCGGUUGUCACGCCAGUGGCAUUGCCGGGUAGCUAUGUUCGGAAAAGAUAACCGCUGAAAGCAUCUAAGCGGGAAACUUGCCUCAAGAUGAGAUCUCACUGGGAACUUGAUUCCCCUGAAGGGCCGUCGAAGACUACGACGUUGAUAGGCUGGGUGUGUAAGCGUUGUGAGGCGUUGAGCUAACCAGUACUAAUUGCCCGUGAGGCUUGACC
RNAcentral lists this ribosomal RNA (1497 nucleotides) under Pseudomonas aeruginosa. RNAcentral's name for it is "bacterial LSU rRNA". It matches the Rfam family "Bacterial large subunit ribosomal RNA", at positions 1446 to 2925 of the family's 2925-position model. Lineage: Bacteria; Pseudomonadati; Pseudomonadota; Gammaproteobacteria; Pseudomonadales; Pseudomonadaceae. The record is from RNAcentral.